RNAcentral lists this long non-coding RNA (1121 nucleotides) under Lupinus angustifolius (narrow-leaved blue lupine). RNAcentral describes it as "long non-coding RNA (LANG_LNC003072)". The record is from RNAcentral. Lineage: Eukaryota; Viridiplantae; Streptophyta; Magnoliopsida; Fabales; Fabaceae.
CUACUAAUCCUAUUGUAUUCAUAUUGAUAUGGUGUUUAGCCUAAAAGAAGGUAAUGGGGUGAAAUGUCACAAGAAGCUUUUUCAUGCCUCAAGAUUUGUACCAUGAGUGAGAGAGGUAAGGACACUUUUCAUGAUUUUUUCACUCCUUUUUAUACUAUAUCUGUUUUACUGUAAAGCAUUGAUUCUUGAAGUUUGAGGAUUUGGGGUUUUGGUUGUUUUAGAUUUCAAUAAUCUUAGAGUGAGAGUUGACAGCAAUCAUCCAGAGUCCAUGAACAUUAACAGCAAAUCUAUGAGAGGACAUGAACAUCGUGUUGGUAUAAUAGUGUAAGGUCCUGUGAUCCAGAAUGACUACUAAAAAGUUAAGGGUUUAACUCCUGAGAGUGAUACUUGUUAUAGGAGAAGUCAUGAACCUCCGAAAUGAGUUCAUGAUAUCCUUGGUAGUAUAAGAAAAAAAUUUAAAGGAAGAUUUUUCUUGUCCUACAGGCAUAUCCAUAUAUGGUUGAAUAACACCUUUCAAUGGUUAACUAUUUUUCAUAUGGUUUUGUUGCAACUUAGUACCAACUUGAGAUAAUUUCCAAUUCUUGAAUUUUUACAGCUUGGUUUCCACUAUUCACUCAUUUUAUUUCUAGGUGGGUACUCUACUGUGAUAUUUUCCUUUAUUUUCAUUUUGUAUUCUCUAUGUGAGUUUUUCAUUUCUAGUAAUCACUCUUAAGGAACGAUGAGUUAUUCCUAUGAAAUGCUCCAAUCACCUCUCUGUUUAUUUGAGUAACCUUAAUUAAGGUAAUCCGGUCCCAAUAAGUUAAACAAGAAAGGAUAUAGCUAAGAAAUUCUCAUUUGAGUAACCUUAAUUAACCUUUUGAAUUUUUUCUCUGUAAUUUUUAGGAAGUGAAAUCGACUAACUGAUAUGCCUCAAAUCAUUGGAGUGAUAUAUGCCUUGAGAAGCAACUAACUGACAUGACUAUCAAAUAUGCAGACUUGUUUUUGACAAUCAUUUCUCUGUUGGCUUAUGUUGUGUAGAUUGUACAGGGGUCAAGAUUUUUAAGAACUGAUAUGGUUAUAAGUCUUUUUACCUUCUUUAGUUAUAUUUUCAUCUUUUUUAUAUUUAUAUGUUUUGACAUUGC